GACGAACCGAGCGAACGUUAUUCGGAAUCACUGGGCGUAAAGGGUGCGUAGGCGGUUUUUUAAGUCAGGGGUGAAAUCCUGGAGCUCAACUCCAGAACUGCCUUUGAUACUGAAGAUCUUGAGUUCGGGAGAGGUGAGUGGAACUGCGAGUGUAGAGGUGAAAUUCGUAGAUAUUCGCAAGAACACCAGUGGCGAAGGCGGCUCACUGGCCCGAUACUGACGCUGAGGCACGAAAGCGUGGGGAGCAAACAGG
Molecule: ribosomal RNA, 253 nt
Filed under: uncultured bacterium
Lineage: Bacteria
Description: partial 16S ribosomal RNA
Rfam family: Bacterial small subunit ribosomal RNA
Source: RNAcentral